GCUCCCAUGGCGUAGUGGGGUCACUGCGCUCGCCUUGCACGCGGGAGACCCGGGUUCGAUUCCCGGCGGGGUCA
RNAcentral lists this transfer RNA (74 nucleotides) under Diaphorina citri (Asian citrus psyllid). It matches the Rfam family "tRNA". From Rfam's summary of the family: Transfer RNA (tRNA) molecules are approximately 80 nucleotides in length. Their secondary structure includes four short double-helical elements and three loops (D, anti-codon, and T loops). Further hydrogen bonds mediate the characteristic L-shaped molecular structure. tRNAs have two regions of fundamental functional importance: the anti-codon, which is responsible for specific mRNA codon recognition, and the 3' end, to which the tRNAs corresponding amino acid is attached (by aminoacyl-tRNA synthetases). tRNAs cope with the degeneracy of the genetic code in two manners: having more than one tRNA (with a specific anti-codon) for a particular amino acid; and 'wobble' base-pairing, i.e. permitting non-standard base-pairing at the 3rd anti-codon position. Lineage: Eukaryota; Metazoa; Arthropoda; Insecta; Hemiptera; Psyllidae. The record is from Rfam by way of RNAcentral.